CCAUCGGUGGUUCAGUGGUAGAAUGCUCGCCUGCCACGCGGGCGGCCCUGAUUCCCGGCCGAUGCA
Molecule: non-coding RNA, 66 nt
Organism: Cordylochernes scorpioides
Lineage: Eukaryota; Metazoa; Arthropoda; Arachnida; Pseudoscorpiones; Chernetidae
Source: the annotation of a GenBank genome assembly